CAUGCAUUAUUUUGUUUGGUCGCCUUUAAUGUGGUUCCCAUGUAAAUGCUGGAACAGAAAAAAAGAGGUAGAUAUGAGUGUGUGAGUGCAUUAAUCCAUCAUAGCGCCAGUGUCCCGUCAGAAGUAAUGAGCCAAGAGGUUAAGGAAGAAAGAGUUUAUGAUGAGACCGGCUUCUUACUGGAGGGAAUGCUAAACAAUUAACACAUUAAUAAAGACGAGUUGUUUCUGAAUGUUAUCUGCUCUCUUUGCACUUGAAACUCCUCGUGCAAAGUCAUUUGAGCAUCAGUUUCCUUUUCUCUUCUGGUCAGAGUUUAGUCCUGCUGUGGACCCUGCUGGAGUCUUCACCAUCUUUUGAGUUUUGGUCCAGCAAUCGGACACACCUGCCAAACCGCAGAAUAAAGGAUGAGCGGUCAGUGGGGACAACUCAUCUGGAGACAAACAAAUGCCUCCAGGAAUGGACUGAAAGAUUUCUGUAAUAAAACUAAAUACAAGUCCAAAAUCUUUAAGAUCUUUUGUUGUUAAAAUGAAAAAGUUUUAGGGUCAAAAAAGUUUUUCAAAAGAUACAGAAGAAAAUACAAGGCAGCUGUGUGUAGGAGUAGGAGGACUGCCGAGGCUAAAAGGGUUAUAAAUGUGUGUAUAUGAAGUUUCAUAGCUGUAAAUGGUAAAGAUGUUUGAAAUAGGAGAUACUGCAUAUCCCUAGGAAGGUAAACAACAAUUUAAGAGUGUCGACAAGCCAGAAAAAAAUCUCUUUUUUCUGUUAGAUCCAGUAUUUCUGAAAUAACCUGAACUUUAGGUUGAACUAUUUUUGCAGCAAAUUAUAAAAGAGGUUUAAUUCUAAUAUUUUCAUCCUCCAAAUAGCACAAUUUGAGCAAAAAUGUGGACCAGUGGUCAACGCAUUUUUAUCAUUAUCCGGGAAAUAGAUUUUAAAAACUGAACAAUGAACACCAAGCAUUUAUUCCUCACCCUGUGCCCUCACUAAAAGAACAUCAGCAUCCGUCUGUCUAUGUACGUAAUUCUGAGAAUCCUGGGAAUUUUCGGCUUCCGACUCAAUUCUCUCUCUUCCUGUAUUUGAAAAAUAAAGCCUAGGUUGCUAGGAAAUGAUCACUUUCCCUUUUCCAACAAAUUGUCCAAACAAUUUCGAGAGACCCGUUUACUUUAAAUAAUCAGAUUUCUGAGUACAACCCUGACCUUGUGUUAGAAGUAGCUCCAUUCAGACAAGCACACAGC
Xyrichtys novacula (pearly razorfish) is the source of this 1227-nucleotide non-coding RNA. NCBI's taxonomy places the organism in Eukaryota, Metazoa, Chordata, Actinopteri, Labriformes, Labridae. The record is from the annotation of a GenBank genome assembly.